RNAcentral lists this ribosomal RNA (501 nucleotides) under uncultured bacterium. Its description in RNAcentral is "partial 16S ribosomal RNA". It matches the Rfam family "Bacterial small subunit ribosomal RNA", at positions 30 to 523 of the family's 1533-position model. The record is from RNAcentral.
AUUGAACGCUGGCGGCAGGCUUAACACAUGCAAGUAGAGCGGGGGAAGGUAGCUUGCUACCGGACCUAGCGGCGGACGGGUGAGUACUGCUUAGGAAUCUGCCUAUUUGUGGGGGACAACAUCUCGAAAGGGAUGCUAAUACCGCAUACGUCCUACGGGAGAAAGCAGGGGAUCUUCGGACCUUGCGAUACUAGAGGAGCCUAAGUCGGAUUAGCUAGUUGGUGGGGUAAAGGCCUAACAAGGCGACGAUCUGUAGCGGGUCUGAGAGGAUGAUCCGCCACACUGGGACUGAGACACGGCCCAGACUCCUACGGGAGGCAGCAGUGGGGAAUAUUGGACAAUGGGGGGAACCCUGAUCCAGCCAUGCCGCGUGUGUGAAGAAGGCCUUAUGGUUGUAAAGCACUUUAAGCGAGGAGGAAGCUACUUUAGUUAAUACCUGGAGAUAGUGGACGUUACUCGCAGAAUAAGCACCGGCUAACUCUGUGCCAGCAGCCGCCGUAA